Molecule: ribosomal RNA, 314 nt
Filed under: uncultured methanogenic archaeon
Lineage: Archaea; Methanobacteriati; Methanobacteriota
Description: bacterial SSU rRNA
Rfam family: Archaeal small subunit ribosomal RNA
Source: RNAcentral
UUCCUUACGGGGGGCAGCAGGCGGGAAAUCUUUACAAUGCGGGAAACCGCGAUAAGGGGACACCGAGUGCCAGCAUUUAUGUUGGCUGUCCACAUGUGUAAACGGCAUGUGUUAGCAAGGGCCGGGCAAGACCGGUGCCAGCCGCCGCGGUAACACCGGCGGCCCGAGUGGUAAUCACUUUUAUUGGGUCUAAAGGGUCCGUAGCCGGUUUGAUCAGUUCUUCGGGAAAUCUGACAGCUCAACUGUUAGGCUUCCGGGGAAUACUGUCAGACUUGGGACCGGGAGAGGUAAGAGGUACUACAGGGGUAGGAGUG